CAGGGAGACAAAAACUGAUCGUGAUGUCUGAGAUUUUUUUACUUAGACCAUGAUCCUGUCACCUUAGGUCGAUCGGUACCUCAGAUUCAUAUCAAAAUUUGAAUUUCAGUUCCUAAACUUUGUCUAGGUCACACCCAGCAAGGGUUCUCCUGGGCCAUUAGCUCAGGUGGUUAGAGCGCACCCCUGAUAAGGGUGAGGUCCCUGGUUCAAGUCCAGGAUGGCCCAUUCGGUGUUGGGGGUAUAGCUCAGUUGGUAGAGCGCCUGCUUUGCAAGCAGGAUGUCAGCGGUUCGAGUCCGCUAACCUCCACUGACGAAUCUUCUGACAACGAGCCAAUGGUGAGAAUCGUUGUGUGAUGUGAUUUAGAAUUUAAGUUUGCUGGCAGACCCUAGCUUCUUAUCAUUCCAGGACUCAAUCAAUUGAGAUGAGGUUGAUAGGACGCUGGGCUCACUGUAAUUCGCAAGAAUUGCAGAGAUGUUCAGCAGAACCUUGACAACUGCAUAGGUAAGUCUGGAAAGAAUAAAGCAUCUCAUGGAUGCAUGAUUCUUGGGAAUCAGCUGAUGCAAUCUGCGCGAGCAGAGAGCUGAGGUUGAUCAACGAGAAUGAUGUUUGAUUCUUGAGUCAAGAGCCGAGACUCUAUAGCGUUCUUUCGAUGUCAUCGAGGCAUCGAGAGUUUGAUUGGUGAUUCAAACCAUUUUCAAUGACAAACAAUUCAGUUUAACUGGAGAAGUUUGAGACUGAAGCCAGGUGAAUUGCUAAGAAUACGUAUUCAACUACGUGAAGCGUUAUAGAGAUUAAUU
Molecule: transfer RNA, 798 nt
Filed under: uncultured cyanobacterium
Lineage: Bacteria; Bacillati; Cyanobacteriota
Description: partial 16S-23S ribosomal RNA intergenic spacer
Rfam family: tRNA (bases 152-225)
Source: RNAcentral